AGAGUUUGAUCCUGGCUCAGAACGAACGCUGGCGGCAGGCUUAACACAUGCAAGUCGAACGGUCUCUUCGGAGGCAGUGGCAGACGGGUGAGUAAUGCAUGGGAAUCUACCGUUCUCUACGGAAUAACUCAGGGAGACUUGUGCUAAUACCGUAUACGCCCUUUUGGGGAAAGAUUUAUCGGAGAAUGAUGAGCCCAUGUUGGAUUAGCUAGUUGGUAGGGUAAAGGCCUACCAAGGCGACGAUCCAUAGCUGGUCUGAGAGGAUGAUCAGCCACACUGGGACUGAGACACGGCCCAGACUCCUACGGGAGGCAGCAGUGGGGAAUAUUGGACAAUGGGCGCAAGCCUGAUCCAGCCAUGCCGCGA
This 366-nucleotide ribosomal RNA is filed under the name uncultured bacterium. RNAcentral describes it as "bacterial SSU rRNA". It matches the Rfam family "Bacterial small subunit ribosomal RNA", at positions 8 to 402 of the family's 1533-position model. The record is from RNAcentral.